RNAcentral lists this ribosomal RNA (375 nucleotides) under uncultured bacterium. Its description in RNAcentral is "bacterial SSU rRNA". It matches the Rfam family "Bacterial small subunit ribosomal RNA", at positions 523 to 898 of the family's 1533-position model. The record is from RNAcentral.
AUACGUAGGGGGCAAGCGUUAUCCGGAAUCACUGGGUGUAAAGGGUGCGUAGGCGGCAAUGUAAGUCAGAUGUGAAAUCCCGGGGCUCAACCCCGGGCGUGCAUUUGAAACUGCAUAGCUAGAGUGCGGGAGAGGAAAGUGGAAUUCCUAGUGUAGCGGUGAAAUGCGUAGAUAUUAGGAGGAACACCAGUGGCGAAGGCGACUUUCUGGACUGUAACUGACGCUGAUGCACGAAAGCGUGGGUAGCGAACAGGAUUAGAUACCCUGGUAGUCCACGCCGUAAACGAUGAGUGCUAGGUGUCGGGGGGUCAUACCCUCGGUGCCGGAGCAAACGCAUUAAGCACUCCACCUGGGGAGUACGUUCGCAGGAAUGAA